Molecule: ribosomal RNA, 264 nt
Filed under: Oxalobacter formigenes
Lineage: Bacteria; Pseudomonadati; Pseudomonadota; Betaproteobacteria; Burkholderiales; Oxalobacteraceae
Description: partial 16S ribosomal RNA
Rfam family: Bacterial small subunit ribosomal RNA
Source: RNAcentral
UUUUAUUUGGGGGGAAGGUGGGGAUGACGUCAAAUCAUCAUGCCCCUUAUGUCCUGGGCUACACACGUGUUACAAUGGGUUAAACAAAGAGAAGCGAAACUGUGAGGUGGAGCAAAUCUCAAAAAAAUAGUCUCAGUUCAGAUUGUGGGCUGCAACCCGCCCACAUGAAGUUGGAAUUGCUAGUAAUCGCGGAUCAGCAUGUCGGGGUGAAUACGUUCCCGGGUCUUGUACACACCGCCCGUCACACCAUGGGAGUCGGGAACA